GAUGAACGCUGGCGGCGUGCCUAAUACAUGCAAGUCGAGCGAACGGACGAGAAGCUUGCUUCUCUGAUGUUAGCGGCGGACGGGUGAGUAACACGUGGAUAACCUACCUAUAAGACUGGGAUAACUUCGGGAAACCGGAGCUAAUACCGGAUAAUAUUUUGAACCGCAUGGUUCAAAAGUGAAAGACGGUCUUGCUGUCACUUAUAGAUGGAUCCGCGCUGCAUUAGCUAGUUGGUAAGGUAACGGCUUACCAAGGCAACGAUGCAUAGCCGACCUGAGAGGGUGAUCGGCCACACUUGAACUGAGACACGGGCCAAACUUCUAAGGGAGGCAGCCGUAGGGAAUCUUCCGCAAUGGGCGAAAGCCUGACGGAGCAACGCCGCGUGAGUGAUGAAGGUCUUCGGAUCGUAAAACUCUGUUAUUAGGGAAGAACAUAUGUGUAAGUAACUGUGCACAUCUUGACGGUACCUAAUCAGAAAGCCACGGCUAACUACGUG
This 497-nucleotide ribosomal RNA is filed under the name uncultured bacterium. Its description in RNAcentral is "partial 16S ribosomal RNA". It matches the Rfam family "Bacterial small subunit ribosomal RNA", at positions 28 to 507 of the family's 1533-position model. The record is from RNAcentral.